Molecule: ribosomal RNA, 497 nt
Filed under: uncultured bacterium
Lineage: Bacteria
Description: partial 16S ribosomal RNA
Rfam family: Bacterial small subunit ribosomal RNA
Source: RNAcentral
GAUGAACGCUGGCGGCGUGCCUAAUACAUGCAAGUCGAGCGAACAGACGAGGAGCUUGCUCCUCUGACGUUAGCGGCGGACGGGUGAGUAACACGUGGAUAACCUACCUAUAAGACUGGGAUAACUUCGGGAAACCGGGGCUAAUACCGGAAAAUAUAUUGAACCGCAUGGUUCAAUAGUGAAAGACGGUUUUGCUGUCACUUAUAGAUGGAUCCGCGCCGCAUUAGCUAGUUGGUAAGGUAACGGCUUACCAAGGCGACGAUGCGUAGCCGACCUGAGAGGGUGAUCGGCCACACUGGAACUGAGACACGGUCCAGACUCCUACGGGAGGCAGCAGUAGGGAAUCUUCCGCAAUGGGCGAAAGCCUGACGGAGCAACGCCGCGUGAGUGAUGAAGGUCUUCGGAUCGUAAAACUCUGUUAUUAGGGAAGAACAAAUGUGUAAGUAACUAUGCACGUCUUGACGGUACCUAAUCAGAAAGCCACGGCUAACUACGUG